CUGGGCCUACGGGGCGCAGCAGUGGGGAAUAUUGCACAAUGGGGGAAACCCUGAUGCAGCGACGCCGCGUGAGUGAAGAAGUAAUUCGUUAUGUAAAGCUCUAUCAGCAGGGAAGAAAAUGACGGUACCUGAGUAAGAAGCCCCGGCUAACUACGUGCCAGCAGCCGCGGUAAUACGUAGGGGGCAAGCGUUAUCCGGAUUUACUGGGUGUAAAGGGAGCGUAGACGGCAGUGCAAGUCUGGAGUGAAAUGCGGGGGCCCAACCCCCGGACUGCUCUGGAAACUGUAUGACUUGAGUGCAGGAGC
This 305-nucleotide ribosomal RNA is filed under the name uncultured bacterium. RNAcentral describes it as "bacterial SSU rRNA". It matches the Rfam family "Bacterial small subunit ribosomal RNA", at positions 333 to 655 of the family's 1533-position model. The record is from RNAcentral.